RNAcentral lists this ribosomal RNA (301 nucleotides) under uncultured bacterium. RNAcentral describes it as "partial 16S ribosomal RNA". It matches the Rfam family "Bacterial small subunit ribosomal RNA", at positions 509 to 807 of the family's 1533-position model. The record is from RNAcentral.
CAGCAGCCGCGGGAAUACGGAGGGGGCUAGCGUUGUUCGGAAUUACUGGGCGUAAAGCGCACGUAGGCGGCUUUGUAAGUUAGAGGUGAAAGCCCGGAGCUCAACUCCGGAAUUGCCUUUAAGACUGCAGAGCUAGCAGGUGAGAGAGGUGAGUGGAAUUCCGAGUGUAGAGGUGAAAUUCGUAGAUAUUCGGAGGAACACCAGUGGCGAAGGCGACACACUGGCUCAUUACUGACGCUGAGGCGCGAAAGCGUGGGGAGCAAACAGGAUUAGAGACCCCUGUAGUCCCUGUCUCUUAUAC